CAGAGAUAUGAUGAUGUUUAUCCAUAUAUUCUGCAUUUCAAUGAUGCUCAAAAACAUGCACUACCAUAUGAUCUCUU
Lupinus albus (white lupine) is the source of this 77-nucleotide non-coding RNA. The record is from the annotation of a GenBank genome assembly. Lineage: Eukaryota; Viridiplantae; Streptophyta; Magnoliopsida; Fabales; Fabaceae.